GUGAAGGUGGCCGAGUCGGUCUAAGGCGCUGGUUUUAGGCACCAGUCUCUUCGGAGGCGCGGGUUCGAAUCCCGUCCUUCACA
Allomyces macrogynus ATCC 38327 is the source of this 83-nucleotide transfer RNA. It matches the Rfam family "tRNA". From Rfam's summary of the family: Transfer RNA (tRNA) molecules are approximately 80 nucleotides in length. The record is from Rfam. Lineage: Eukaryota; Fungi; Blastocladiomycota; Blastocladiomycetes; Blastocladiales; Blastocladiaceae.